GGGCGGGUAGCUCAGUGGCAAGAGCGUUCGCCUUACACGCGAAAGGUCGGAGGUUCGAAUCCUCCCCCGCCCA
Molecule: transfer RNA, 73 nt
Filed under: bacterium
Lineage: Bacteria
Description: tRNA-Val
Rfam family: tRNA
About the family: Transfer RNA (tRNA) molecules are approximately 80 nucleotides in length. Their secondary structure includes four short double-helical elements and three loops (D, anti-codon, and T loops). Further hydrogen bonds mediate the characteristic L-shaped molecular structure. tRNAs have two regions of fundamental functional importance: the anti-codon, which is responsible for specific mRNA codon recognition, and the 3' end, to which the tRNAs corresponding amino acid is attached (by aminoacyl-tRNA synthetases). tRNAs cope with the degeneracy of the genetic code in two manners: having more than one tRNA (with a specific anti-codon) for a particular amino acid; and 'wobble' base-pairing, i.e. permitting non-standard base-pairing at the 3rd anti-codon position.
Source: RNAcentral